ACGAACGCUGGCGGCGUGCUUAACACAUGCAAGUCGAACGGAAAGGCCCCUUUGGGGGUACUCGAGUGGCGAACGGGUGAGUAACACGUGAGUAACCUGCCCUUGACUUCGGGAUAACUUCAGGAAACUGGGGCUAAUACCGGAUAGGAAUCCUUGCUGCAUGGUGGGGGUUGGAAAGCUUCGGCGGUUUUGGAUGGACUCGCGGCUUAUCAGCUUGUUGGUGGGGUAGUGGCUUACCAAGGCUUUGACGGGUAGCCGGCCUGAGAGGGCGACCGGCCACAUUGGGACUGAGAUGCGGCCCAGACUCCUACGGGAGGCAGCAGUGGGGAAUAUUGCACAAUGGGCGGAAGCCUGAUGCAGCAACGCCGCGUGCGGGAUGACGGCCUUCGGGUUGUAAACCGCUUUCAGCAGGGGCGAAGCUUGUGGUGACGGUACCUGCAGAAGAAGCACCGGCUAACUACGUG
Molecule: ribosomal RNA, 464 nt
Filed under: uncultured bacterium
Lineage: Bacteria
Description: partial 16S ribosomal RNA
Rfam family: Bacterial small subunit ribosomal RNA
Source: RNAcentral